UGGUUUGUUUUCAACUACCUACAUCUUAAAUAUAAGUGAAUGUCACUCAAGUUAAAAAUUCUGAUUGUGAUGAUAAUGAAUGCGUUAAACUAUAAUGGUUUGUUUUCUUAUGGAUCAUAUCGAAUGAUGUUUUUCCCCAAAUUUCACCACAAGAACCAAAGGUGGUUGAUCUUGCUCGAUUCCUAACUAAAAGUGGGACCUGUAUAUAAGGAGUAGGAAGCUAAAGUUUCUUAAACUCCACAGCUAAACUUACUUCACUAAACAACAUGUAUUUGAUCUUUUCUUUGCGGUUGAAUCUUUGUUAAUUAAUUAGUAGGUCCUUGGUACCUCUUUCUUACAUAUUUGGAUUUGCCAAGUUGAUACUAUCUGAUAUUGACUGCUUUGCUAGUGUUUUCUGCAAACUCCUAAUAUCACCAUGACUCACUUAAUGAGUUACUUGAAACUUGCAAUUAGGGACUUGUCCUCAAGCGGAUUGACAGGAGAGAUAACUUCAUAUAUAUCCCAUCAUGACAUGUUACAUCUUUUAACUUGGAGAAGAACAAGCUCAAAUGGUUCACUUCCGAGUAUGCUUAUUGAAAAAUUGACAAGUGGAUCAUUAUUGUUAAGGGCUGGAGAAAAUGAAAACUUAUGUGCAGCAAUAUCAUGCAAAAGGAAGAAAGCCAAUGUAUUCAUUCCCAUAAUAGCAGCAGUUGGUGGAUUUGCUAUUCUGUUUGCAGCUCAGUUGUUAUAUUAUUUAGCAUGAGAACAAAAGAGAAUGAGGUGAAGCUGUAAUAUAUAUUACUAACAGUUGAAUGGUAAACAGAGAAACUGUUUGAUGUGUCAUAUGUAUGCAAUUUUGAUAAUACAAGAAUGUUUUUUUUUGUGUCC
Rosa chinensis is the source of this 867-nucleotide long non-coding RNA. RefSeq lists it as uncharacterized. Lineage: Eukaryota; Viridiplantae; Streptophyta; Magnoliopsida; Rosales; Rosaceae. The record is from RefSeq and is a predicted model, not a curated record. The transcript is spliced from 3 exons.